This 503-nucleotide ribosomal RNA is filed under the name uncultured bacterium. RNAcentral's name for it is "partial 16S ribosomal RNA". It matches the Rfam family "Bacterial small subunit ribosomal RNA", at positions 30 to 523 of the family's 1533-position model. The record is from RNAcentral.
AUUGAACGCUGGCGGCAGGCUUAACACAUGCAAGUCGAGCGGGGUGAUGGUGCUUGCACUAUCACUUAGCGGCGGACGGGUGAGUAAUGCUUAGGAAUCUGCCUAUUAGUGGGGGACAACAUCUCGAAAGGGAUGCUAAUACCGCAUACGUCCUACGGGAGAAAGCAGGGGAUCACUUGUGACCUUGCGCUAAUAGAUGAGCCUAAGUCGGAUUAGCUCGUUGGUGGGGUAAAGGCCUACCAAGGCGACGAUCUGUAGCGGGUCUGAGAGGAUGAGCCGCCACCAUGGGACUGAGACACGACCCAGCCUCCUACGGGAGGCAGCAGUGGGGAAUAUUGGACAAUGGGGGGAACCCUGAUCCAGCCAUGCCGCGUGUGUGAAGAAGGCCUUAUGGUUGUAAAGCACUUUAAGCGAGGAGGAGGCUCUUUUGGUUAAUACCCAAGAUGAGUGGACGUUACUCGCAGAAUAAGCACCGGCUAACUCUGUGCCAGCCGCCGCGGUAA